UUUCACUAGAAUAAUCUCAGAUUAGUUCUCCCGAACUUACAAGAGCUAUCAAUGAACUAAAUUUUUAGGUUAUUAGUUGAAUGAGGCUGUUGCACUAUCCUCGUAAAAGUCAUUGAUAGGGGUGAAACACUUUCACUUCUAAGGAUAGCUGGACAACAGCUAAAUACAUUAAGUGUAUCCUACAAAACUGCUAAGUAAUAAGAUUUAGCAGAAAAAAUUUACGCUUUCUAUAAAUAGUCUUUAAUUUAAAACAUUGAGAAGGAAUUAAAUUUUAUAACUAACCUCGUGAUAUUUAUUUUGUUAUAGCUGCUUUAAUAGGGAAUAUAAAUUAUACCUUAUUAAAUAAUGUGGAAAUUAGUAAGACAAGAAAAAAUUAAAAAGGAACUCGGCAAAUAGUCUUCUUGUCUGUUUACCAAAAACAUAGCGGCAUGAGAUUAAUAUGCGGUGGAAUCUGCCCAGUGAUAAAUUUAACGGCCGCAGUACUUUGACUGUGCUAAGGUAGCAUAAUAAUUUGGCUUUUAAUUGAGGUCUGGUAUCAACGAAUACACAAGGAGAUGCUGUCUCUUUAAUUAUAUUUUGAAAUUAAUCAAUAAGUGAAAAUGCUUAUUAGUAAAAAAAUAGACGAGAAGACCCUUAGAAUUUUAAGAAAUAACCUCGAAAGAAAGAGUACAUGCUUUUUGUUGGGGCAACAUAUUUUCAUUAUAAACAAAAUAAUCUUAUUAGGAUAAACCGAUUAUAUAUUAGCAUAAAAAUUACCUUAGGGAUAACAGCAUAAUUUUAGCAAUAAGUUUGUGACCUCGAUGUUGGACUAGGGACGCCAAGCACGAGAUGUGCUUGGCGAAUGUUCUGUUCGAACACUAAUUACCUACACGAUCUGAGUUCAGACCGG
Molecule: ribosomal RNA, 889 nt
Filed under: Charpentieria itala clavata
Lineage: Eukaryota; Metazoa; Mollusca; Gastropoda; Stylommatophora; Clausiliidae
Description: partial 16S ribosomal RNA
Source: RNAcentral